RNAcentral lists this non-coding RNA (45 nucleotides) under Trichobilharzia regenti. The record is from RNAcentral. Lineage: Eukaryota; Metazoa; Platyhelminthes; Trematoda; Strigeidida; Schistosomatidae.
AUCCGGCUGACGCGCCCCAAAUGGGACGAAACGCGCAUCCUGGAU